Molecule: long non-coding RNA, 7673 nt
Filed under: Citrus maxima (pomelo)
Lineage: Eukaryota; Viridiplantae; Streptophyta; Magnoliopsida; Sapindales; Rutaceae
Description: long non-coding RNA (CMAX_LNC001593)
Source: RNAcentral
UGAUCAGUCAGCCACUGAUUACUCUGAGACUACAGGUUAUCCGGGAGACCGGCGUCGGCCAUCGGAGACGGAGAGCGGUGACUAUGGCAGGAAAGAGGAAGAGUUUGAUUACAAGAAGGAGGAGAAGCACCACAAACAUCUCGAGCACCUCGGAGAGCUUGGAACUGCUGGAGCUGGUGCUUUUGCUCUGGUAAAGUGAUUCUUCAUCAAGUGCUUUUUUUAUUUUGUGAUAGUGUAUAGUUUCAUUUCUCAUGCAUACAUACAAAAAAAAAGAUUUUUUUUUUUUUGACAGCAUAUAUAUGUAUAUAUACAAAGUACCACGCAUGUAACUAGGCUUUUUGCAUGGAUUGGAGGAAAAAAAAGAAAGAAUCCCAUUAUUUUCUUUAAUUUUAUCUCUAUGUUGACACUCAAUUAUUUAUUUAUUUAUUUUUUUUUGGGUGGUGGGGGGGUGUGAACCGAUAUUGUAAAUGGAUCAGCUUGAGAAGCACAAGGCAGAAAAGGACCCAGAGCAUGCACACAGGCACAAGAUAGAGGAGGAGAUAGCCGCGGCCGCAGCCGUUGGAUCGGGAGGAUUUGCGUUCCACGAGCACCAUGAGAAGAAAGAAGCCAAGGAAGAAGACGAGGAAGCUCAUGGAAAGAAGCACCACCAUCUCUUUUAAUUAAUUAUGUAUUGCGUGCGCUACCUUUUUUAGUUUAUUAUAAUUAUGUGUUAAUAUUUUCUGUAUUUUAUUUGUUUUUGUUCGUUAAUUAUCAUUGAGCACAGAGGUAGCUAUCUGCAGCCCUAAAUAAUACUCUUGUGUGUUCGCGUGUAUGGGUGAGUCUGGUGACUUUUGUAAAUAGACCGGAGUUAUCUGGUUAUGUUGUCAUCUUACUUUCAUAUUUAUGUUGAUAAUAAAACUUAGUUUUAAUUGUGUGUUUAUUAUUUAUAAGAUUUGACCUCAUGAUCUGAUGUUUUCUCCAAUCUCAGCUGUUGCUUUAGAAGUGGGGAUCAUCUAUUACUAUUGUUUUUAAAUGAACUGAGCUGACAGCCAUUGCGCUAAAGACUAAUUCAACAUCAUAAAUAAACAACUCUCUUUGCGGUGAUGUAAUUUUAUUUGCCAAUGGGAUAAAGUAAAUUUAUGUGAAAUAACAUUUAUUCUAUAUUUAUUAAAUUUUUUAAAGGAAUAUAUAAAGUUUAAAUUAACCUACAACUUUUCUUAAGAUUCAAAUCCUUGGGGGCUUUAUCAAAUAAGAUUUGAUAUUAUAUCUGAAAAUGUAAUCGUGAAACCAAUGAUUAUAAGUUGAACUUAAUGUACAACUAAUCUUGAUAUUACCAAGUUGAUUUAUGGACUUUUGCUCGAGAAUGUUGUAUGGCUCGUGACAAGUUGGACUGAAAAGCCUAUCGAGUAAUGGAAUGUUAGGUGUAUUUUCUCAAGAAGCAACACUAAAUAAUCACCCGCUGAGAGUCACAAGUUUCUUGGCACAAUGUUACUUUCAUGGAUUUAAGUCUCUAAUUAUUGUGUUUUGACUCUAAAGCCAAAUCCCUGUACCAUUGUCAUGAAGGAGGGCCAAAAUAAUCAUUUCCGAUUCGGCUCAACUUUGAUACAAUAGUUGGAGCGAUUAAUGUUACACUUUAACAUCUAACUAGGGACGUAGCUUUCUCCUUUAUUGUAAUAAACAUGAAAGUGAAAAAAAAAUGUAAUUGAAAAGAUUAAGAGGACAUGAAAGAACACGAAACAGGGCUCCAUCUACCAUGCCCCCUUGCGCACCGUACCCCCUUUACUUGUUUUGUAAUGAAGGCACCGUUGGAUGAAAAGGAGGAAGAUCGUGGAAGUGGGAAAUCGCCAGGUGGCAGUUGACAAAAACCGGGAGUAUAAGUCAAUUGACAGGAACUGUUUAUGGUGCAAUAAUUUUAUUAAAAGGAACAACAAAUAUGUUGGUACAGACAACAAUAAAGUAGUUAGCUGAAGCAAUUAUAUGUAGAAGCAAGUAGUUUGUUAGAGACAAUUUUAUGUACGUUAUAAACAAAUAUUUUGUUGGAAGAGGCAUAUAAGUGUGGUUACUGUAGCACGGAAAAUGAAAUGAGAUCAAUUGAUGUUAACUAAAUAAAAAAUGAAGCAUGAACGAAAGGAUAGGAAGUAGAUGUAGUUGAUUAGAUGUGUUGAGAAUACGCUCGGAGCCGCAAAAUCCGGCAGGGCCACAGUAAAUAGAGCAAAAAAUAAUCUAGUAUGUGGAGGGAUGAGUUGGCGAAUUAGUAGGAAGCAUCAAAAAAAUUGAGAGCCGCCGUCGGCUGACCAUUUGUGGCAUUAGUUCCACAAAUUGGCAAAUGGGGGAAGGAAGCUUGUGUAAGUGGCAUUAUUUGUAGUGUAUGGAAAUAAUGGGAAAACGAGGAAAAACAAUUACAGCACAACAAGUAAUACUGAAAUAAACAGAAAGGAGAGAAAAAAUGGAAUGAAAAUAAAGUAUAAUUGCAUAGAUAGUGAUUUAUUUUUUUUUUUAAAAGAAGGAACAAAUUGUAGAGUGGAGAGGAGGUAUAUAUAAUCAGAACAAUAGUGGAUUAGAUUUGUGUGAAAUUUGCAUGAGUCUGAAGAAGUAUAAAUUGGAUUUGAAUAGAAUUUGAACUUAUCUGUGGCUAGGAUUUGAAUAUCAAGUAAAAUACGAAAAAAAACAUGUAGCAAAUAAAGAUUGGCAUGGAAGCAGGAUAAUCAGUUCGAAAAGCAGGAGCUAUGGAAUUGACGAUAGCUUGAAAACCCAUGCAUGUCAGUGUUGUUACAUGGCAGCUAUCACCAUAGGUCCACAUCGGUGACUUGAAAUAACAAAUAUCUCGGAAAGUGGGUGAUUGCUUAAGACGUGAACGACCAAAUGCCCAUCAUCUUUAUUUAUUACCAUGAAACUGCACUUUAUAGCGCCAUAUAAAUACAUUCGUAAUGCACAAAACAAAUACAUGUCCAUUACAUUGGCAGCCCCAAAAUUAAUAAAAUAAUAAUAAUAAUGCUCAUUUCUAAUGAAAUCAAUAAAUCAGAUCUACAAUGGACUGUAACCCAUAGGCAUGAUGCAUCCGAUUCACUUCUUUCCAUUACUUGUUGCAAUUUCACUUUCUGAUUUUCUACACAGAUUCAUUGAAAAAACUUAACAACUCUGAAGUUACUAUGGAACUUUCGAUCAUACAUUUGAUUAUCAUUACAUGUACUUACAAAGAUACAAAACAGAUAAAUUAAUUAAUCCCUUGAUCAUUAUACUACAAGUGCAAAAAAUUGUGAUAUAAAUUUAGGAAAAUCAGUUGGGUGGAAAUUGAUAAUUAAGACGCGAUGUGCUUCUAAGAAGUUGAAGCUGAAUGUAUACUCAGCAUAAAGAUAAAUAAACGGGGACGCCAAACACCACUAAUACAAUAAAAUUACAGAGAAAAACAACUAUUUUUUCUCAUCAAUCCUGCUGCAUUAAAUGGGCCCAGUUGAACUGCUGGUAAUAAUCCCUAAAUCAAUUUGAAAUCGAUGCCCUCUACUCCAUAAUUUUACCCUAAAUCUCACUUCCCAGUAGGUUUACCAACAAAAAUUCACUAUUCAACUCAUGCAUUUCAAUUUCAGCUUCCACUAACCUGAUAUUUUUUAUUGCCGUGAUCUCUUCUCCCUCUGUUUCGUUUGAUGCUACCAGAAGAAAAUUAAACUCAACAUGAUCCGCUUCAUAAAUCCGAGCUAACACACCGUCGCUGCGCACUUGACUAUUCUCCACAACUCGGGUCUCUCUCCCUCACACCGGUCAAAAUCAAUUCCACUCACGAUUUACAGCACCCUAAGACCAAUGUCAAAGGUGCAACAGGUUAGAAUGGUAGCCCAACUUUAACUCACUAUUCAUUCUCAAAGCUCCAGCCAUUAGAUUUCACUCAUUAUAAUCUAACGGUUCCAGAAAACCGACAAAUACAGGGAGCACGGUGCCCAAGGGGGCACAAUUAGGGAUGGCAAUGGGGCGGGGUAGGGGUGGGGAUGCCUACCCCAUUCCCCACCCCAUUAAAAAUUUUUGCCUCCAUUCCCCACCCCAUUCCCCAAUAAAUUUAGUGGGUUGGGGAUGGGGAAUCCCCACGUGGGGAAUGAUUCCCCCAUCCCCACCCCAUUCCCCAUUUACAUAUUUUAUAGUAGAUAUAAAAAUAUGAUUUCAGUAAAUUAAAAAUUAGAGACUUAAGAUAAAAUCAUCACAAUAUUAUAAAGUAUUUAAUUUUAAAAAAAAUCUCUAAAAAUUUGAAACAAUAUCUUAAAAUGAUAUUAAAAGUGAAAAAUAUUUAAAGAAAGCAGCACCUUAAAAGAGAAAAGAAAAUAUAUUAAUGUUUUAAAAUUGAAAAAUAUUGUAGAAUUUUCUUUUAUUCAUAUUCUAUUUAUAUUACAUAAAAAUUACAAAUAAAAUUAUUAAUUGACAUUAUAGUUGAUAAAAUACAAAUUAUUAAAUAAGAAUUAAAAACAUAUUUAUAUAUAAUGGGGAUUGGGGUGGGGGUGGGGUGGGGAGUGCAAUACCAAACCCCACCCCGUUAACAAUUUGGGGAUUACUUUUCCCCCACUCCCCACCCCAUUCCCCAAAAAUUAUUAAAAAAUUUCCCCAUUUGGGGUGGGGCUCCAUGGGGCCCCAAACCCGUGGAGAAUUUUGCCAUCCCUAGGCACAAUAGCUGGACCCACGAAACAGGCGGAUAAUUAGGGAAGUGUUGGUCAUGAUUGUCAUCUUUAAUUUGCAGACAAAGAGCAUUAAUUUUUUUUUUUUGGGUUUUAUACUUUUAUCUCACCACUUGAGAGUGGUACAUUUAACAAAAACCCAAAUUCACUAGCAUCUAUGUAAUGUUAUUAUUAUUCUCGCUAAAAAUAUGCUUAAACAAAAAGGAAAUAUCGACAAUUCUAAAUAGAUAAAAAAUUAUUUACACAGGCGUUAAAAAAACCUUUAUGGAUUAAUUUUUUAAUAAUAAAUAAUAAUCUUCAUUAUUAUUUAGUCUAAUGACAGCUGAUGGAUUCUUUUUUCUAUUUAUAUAAUCAGCUUAAUUAGUUCGAGCCUAAAAUUUUUUAUUUCAAGAAAUUUUAUCACCUCAGAUGAAACCUACAUUGAACAAUUGUUUAUAUUACAACAGUAAAUUAUAACCACCGAAACAUCAACUGCCAUUGGAUUGGGACCCAUUUAACCACCGGCCACAAAACAGUUUGGACGAAACUGAAUCCUGAAAAACUUAUGCACCUCCCUUUUCACUUGUUUUUUUAAAAAAAAUUAAAGAAAAAUUACGUGUCAAAAAGAAAAAAAAAUUACACUGACGAAUCCCUUACUGUCAUGCCAAAUUAUCACACUUAAAAUAAAGAAUUUAAGCAAAAGUCUUAAACCAUUAUAAAUGUGAACGUAUGGCUGAUUUAUGAUAUGAUGGGUCCAUCUAUUAAAUAUGUUGUUUUCUUUAGUGUGGAUGUUUUUAUUUUAUUUUAUAAAAGUAUGAAUUUAAUAUUUUAUAAUAUUAUAAAAUAUUUUAUAAAGUGCAAAGUUCAACACUUGAGAAAAAUUUCUUAAGGUUAAAGUUUAUCAUUACAAAGAGUGAAAAAAAAAAAAGAAGAGGAGGAAAAUAUCCAAUUGUAACUACAACCGUCGUGUUUUUACAUUGUAUUUCUUACAAUUUUCCAUUAAAUAUUUCUCAAAUUCUUUAGAGAAUUAAAAUAAAUUUGUUAUAAAAUUAAAUUCUCUCAUGAUCUAAAUUUGUCUGGAGUAAAAUUUAGUUGGAGAUUAGUGGUUAAUUAAAAAAAUAGUUAAAUCAAAAUCAUACAUAGCAUUAAAAAAAAUAUAAAAUACAAGAUAUUUAAAAAUUCGAGAGAGUUCAUGUUAAGAAAGGGUUUUAAUUCAAUAAUGCAUAUGAUAUGCAAUGCAAAGUUUGGUGGGUCUAUUAAAACUAUAAUUAAUUUUAUCCAUUAAACUGCUAUUUCCUCUUUUAUGGAUAAUUCUUUUGAGCCACUGUUGAAGUAUUUGCAAUUUGUAACUAAAUUGUCUGAGCAUGAAGUCUCGUUGGUAAAACCAAUCAUGUCGACAUGUAACGAAAAUAAAUCAAAAUCCGGAAACAAUAUUUAUGUAACAAUGAACCAACAAUAGACCAAUCACAUUAUUAUUAUUAUUAUUAUUAUUAUUUGAGUACAUAAAUUGAUUUUCUUAGAGUAAAAAAGAAAAGAUUUUUUUCUCCGUGAAUUUGACUUUUUCUUGUGGUACCGAACCAACCAUAGAGUUAUUACCUCUAAAAUUUUCUGAAGGUUAAGAAUUUUUUUUUAAACAAUUAAAAUCAUCCCCAGAAAGAGACUCGAGUACACGUGUCAAAAAAUUGAAGUUUCUAACGGAGUUAAGAAAUAAGAAUAUGUUAAAAUAAGCAAAUUAAUGCAUACAUGUCAAAAAAUCUUCCAAAUAUUAAUUAAGUAAAUUCAGAUUAGUACAAUUUUAUUGAUUAUUUGAUUGUCACCCAGAAAAUCUAAAAAGAAAUUGUUAGCGACCCUUAACAUUUGAGUCACGAAAAGCUUAUAAAUAGACCCACAUCUCCCAUGCUACGAUCAUCAGCAACACCAAAAACACUUUCUUGAAGUAGUGUCUAUAAAUUUCUCUUCGGCUAUCACUUUUUACUCUAUUAAUUAAUAAUGUCUGAGGAAAAGCACCACCACCACGGCCUCUUCCACCACCACAAGGAGCAUGAGAAGCCUGAGGGUGCCACCGGUUACUCCGACUCGACCACCGGAUACUCUGAUCAGUCAGCCACUGCUUACUCUGAGACUACAGGUUAUCCGGGAGACCGGCGUCGGCCAUCGGAGACGGAGAGCGGUGACUAUGGCAGGAAAGAGGAGGAGGUUGAUUACAAGAAGGAGGAGAAGCACCACAAGCAUCUCGAGCACCUCGGAGAGCUUGGAACUGCUGGAGCUGGUGCUUUUGCUCUGGUAAAGUGAUUCUUCAUCAAGUGCUUUUUUUAUUUUGUGAUAGUGUAUAGUUUCAUUUCUCAUGCAUACAUACAAAAAAAAAGAUUUUUUUUUUUUGACAGCAUAUAUAUGUAUAUAUACAAAGUACCAAGCAUGUAACUAGGCUUUUUGCAUGGAUUGGAGGAAAAAAAAGAAAGAAUCCCAUUAUUUUCUUUAAUUUUAUCUCUAUGUUGACACUCAAUUAUUUAUUUAUUUAUUUAUUUUUGGGGUGUGGGGGGGGGGGGGGGGGGGUGUGAUACGAUACUGUAAAUGGAUCAGCUUGAGAAGCACAAGGCAGAAAAGGACCCAGAGCAUGCACACAGGCACAAGAUAGAGGAGGAGAUAGCGGCGGCCGCAGCCGUUGGAUUGGGAGGAUUUGCGUUCCACGAGCACCAUGAGAAGAAAGAAGCCAAGGAAGAAGACGAGGAAGCUCAUGGAAAGAAGCACCACCAUCUCUUUUAAUUAAUUAUGUAUUGCGUGCGCUACCUUUUUUAGUUUAUUAUAAUUAUGUGUUAAUAUUUUCUGUAUUUUAUUUGUUUUGUACGUUAGCCCUCAUUGAGCACAGAGGUAGCUGCAGCCCUAAAUAAUACCCUUGUGUGUUUGUGUGUAUGGGUGGGUCUGGUGACUUUUGUAAACAGACCGGAGUUAGCUGGUUAUGUUGUCAUCUUCCAUUUAUAUAUAUGUUGAUAAUAAAAAUUAGUUUUAAUUGUGUGUUUAUUAUUUAUAAAAUUUGACCUCAUGAUCUGAUGUUUUCUACAA